AUUGAACGCUGGCGGCAGGCCUAACACAUGCAAGUCGAGCGAGCGGCGGACGGGUGAGUAAUGUAUGGGGACUGCCCGAUAGAGAGGGAUAACUACUGGAAACGGUGGCUAAUACCGCAUACUAUCGGAUAACCCAUAUGGGAUUAGCUAGUAGGUGGGGUAACGGCUCACCUAGGCGACGAUCUCUAGCUGGUCUGAGAGGAUGAUCAGCCACAUGGUGACUGAGAAACGGCCCAGAACCCUACGGAGGCAGCAGUGGGGAAUAUUGCACAUGGGGCGCAAGCUUGAUGAAGCAAUGCAGCGUGUAUGAAGAAGGCCUUAGGGUUGUAAAGUACGUUCAGCGGGGAGGCGUUACCCGCAGAAGAAGCAACGGCUAACUCCGUGCCAGCCGCCGCGGUAAUUC
RNAcentral lists this ribosomal RNA (403 nucleotides) under uncultured bacterium. RNAcentral's name for it is "partial 16S ribosomal RNA". It matches the Rfam family "Bacterial small subunit ribosomal RNA", at positions 30 to 526 of the family's 1533-position model. The record is from RNAcentral.